This 426-nucleotide ribosomal RNA is filed under the name uncultured Actinomycetes bacterium. RNAcentral's name for it is "bacterial SSU rRNA". It matches the Rfam family "Bacterial small subunit ribosomal RNA", at positions 233 to 671 of the family's 1533-position model. The record is from RNAcentral. Lineage: Bacteria; Bacillati; Actinomycetota; Actinomycetes.
GCGGCCUAUCAGCUUGUUGGUGAGGUAAUGGCUCACCAAGGCGACGACGGGUAGCCGGCCUGAGAGGGCGACCGGCCACACUGGGACUGAGACACGGCCCAGACUCCUACGGGAGGCAGCAGUGGGGAAUAUUGGGCAAUGGAGGAAACUCUGACCCAGCGACGCCGCGUGAGGGAUGAAGGCCUUCGGGUUGUAAACCUCUUUCAGUAGGGAAGAAGCGAAAGUGACGGUACCUACAGAAGAAGCACCGGCUAACUAUGUGCCAGCAGCCGCGGUAAUACAUAGGGUGCAAGCGUUGUCCGGAAUUAUUGGGCGUAAAGAGCUCGUAGGUCGUUUGUCGCGUCGAUUGUGAAAAUCUGAGGCUCAACCUCAGACCUGCAGUCGAUACGGGCAAACUAGAGUGUGGUAGGGGAGACUGGAAUUCCU